ACCUAUACAACUUUCAGCAACGGAUCUCUUGGCUCUCGCAUCGAUGAAGAACGCAGCGAAAUGCGAUAAGUAAUGUGAAUUGCAGAAUUCAGUGAAUCAUCGAAUCUUUGAACGCACCUUGCGCUCCUUGGUAUUCCGAGGAGCAUGCCUGUUUGAGUGUCAUUAAAUUCUCAACCUCACCAACUU
RNAcentral lists this ribosomal RNA (186 nucleotides) under Coprinopsis cinerea. RNAcentral's name for it is "5.8S RNA". The stretch from base 9 to 162 matches the Rfam family "5.8S ribosomal RNA". Rfam says of the family: 5.8S ribosomal RNA (5.8S rRNA) is a component of the large subunit of the eukaryotic ribosome. It is transcribed by RNA polymerase I as part of the 45S precursor that also contains 18S and 28S rRNA. Lineage: Eukaryota; Fungi; Basidiomycota; Agaricomycetes; Agaricales; Psathyrellaceae. The record is from RNAcentral. RNAcentral also lists the same sequence under 9 other names.